RNAcentral lists this ribosomal RNA (482 nucleotides) under uncultured bacterium. RNAcentral's name for it is "bacterial SSU rRNA". It matches the Rfam family "Bacterial small subunit ribosomal RNA", at positions 29 to 506 of the family's 1533-position model. The record is from RNAcentral.
UUGAACGCUGGCGGCAUGCCUUACACAUGCAAGUCGAACGGCAGCACGGGGGCGACCCUGGUGGCGAGUGGCGAACGGGUGAGUAACGCAUCGGAACGUACCCGGAAGUGGGGGAUAACGUAGCGAAAGUUACGCUAAUACCGCAUAUUCUGUGAGCAGGAAAGAGGGGGAUCGCAAGACCUCUCGCUUCCGGAGCGGCCGAUGUCGGAUUAGCUAGUUGGCGGGGUAAAGGCCCACCAAGGCGACGAUCCGUAGCGGGUCUGAGAGGAUGAUCCGCCACACUGGGACUGAGACACGGCCCAGACUCCUACGGGAGGCAGCAGUGGGGAAUUUUGGACAAUGGGCGCAAGCCUGAUCCAGCCAUGCCGCGUGCGGGACGAAGGCCUUCGGGUUGUAAACCGCUUUCAGCCGGAAAGAAAUCGUCAAGGCUAAUAUCCUUGAUGGAUGACGGUACCGGAAGAAGAAGCACCGGCUAACUACGU